Perognathus longimembris pacificus (Pacific pocket mouse) is the source of this 253-nucleotide long non-coding RNA. RefSeq lists it as uncharacterized. Lineage: Eukaryota; Metazoa; Chordata; Mammalia; Rodentia; Heteromyidae. The record is from RefSeq and is a predicted model, not a curated record. The transcript is spliced from 4 exons.
GGCCUCGUCUCACCAUCCUCUUCCCUAGUACUCCUAUUCAUCCUUCACUUCUCGAUUCAUGUUUUUCUUUGACCUCAUCUACAGAGGAAAUACUUUAGGCAACAGGCAUCUAACAUUAAGUAAGCAUAGGGCUAGGCACUGGUGGCUUAUGCCCGUAAUCCUGGCUACUCAGGAAGCUGAGAUCUGAUGAUAGCAGUUUAAAGUCAGAAGCCUGAACAAAAAAAGAAGCCAGAGACAUCUAUAAAACUCUUAU